RNAcentral lists this small RNA (142 nucleotides) under Candidatus Thiodiazotropha sp. (ex Lucinoma borealis). RNAcentral describes it as "RtT sRNA". It matches the Rfam family "RtT RNA". Rfam says of the family: This family represents a bacterial cis-regulatory element known as RtT RNA. The exact function of RtT is unknown although it is thought that it may be involved in changing the cellular response in relation to amino acid starvation. RNAcentral also lists the same sequence under 1 other name. The record is from RNAcentral. Lineage: Bacteria; Pseudomonadati; Pseudomonadota; Gammaproteobacteria; Chromatiales; Sedimenticolaceae.
UCAGAAUCUGCCAGAUGGAGGAUGAGAAGCUCCACCGAGGUUCGACGACAGCGCGUAGCAAAGCGGAGCGAUGGAGAACAGCGGUAGCGCUGGCCCCGCAGGGGUGAGGCCUACGGGCCGAAUAAUCCUUCAUCCCCAGCCA